AGCCUUUUGAAUAAGUGUCGAGAUUUCGUCAGGCACCAGACCAUCAGUACUGAUGAGACUCCUAAUACAAGUAAAGUG
This is a non-coding RNA of Schistosoma rodhaini, 78 nucleotides long. Lineage: Eukaryota; Metazoa; Platyhelminthes; Trematoda; Strigeidida; Schistosomatidae. The record is from Rfam.